GCGAGGGUGAUGGAACCGGCAGACAUGCGAGACUUAGGAUCUCGUGCCUUCGGGCUUGAGGGUUCGAAUCCCUCCCCUCGCACCA
This 85-nucleotide transfer RNA is filed under the name Thermaerobacter sp. RNAcentral describes it as "tRNA-Leu". It matches the Rfam family "tRNA". Rfam says of the family: Transfer RNA (tRNA) molecules are approximately 80 nucleotides in length. The record is from RNAcentral. Lineage: Bacteria; Bacillati; Bacillota; Clostridia; Eubacteriales; Clostridiales Family XVII. Incertae Sedis.